This is a non-coding RNA of Gasterosteus aculeatus aculeatus (three-spined stickleback), 1065 nucleotides long. Lineage: Eukaryota; Metazoa; Chordata; Actinopteri; Perciformes; Gasterosteidae. The record is from RefSeq and is a predicted model, not a curated record.
CCCGGGAGGUGUUACUCCCUACCAGCGCUGACAAACACCGACAUGAAUUACAGGAGAAGGACUGAAAAGUUGCCUGCUGGAUGAGGUCACUAAAAGAAGAGAAUUGUCUUUGAUGAAAGAUGAAUGCUGCCAUCUAAGCAGAACGUCUUUACAACUUCCACCACAAACUAAAAACACACGUCUUCCUACGGUAACUUGAAUAAGAAGCACUUUAGCAGCGCCCAAGAUGGCACUUUCUUAUAGCACUUUUGAAACUUGGCUUUCGUGAAUAAAUUGUACUUUCUCGGUUCUUGUCUGUUCUGGGUCUGUAACUUAUUAUAAGUCGGUUUAGAUAAAAGCGGCAGCUAAAUGCAACAUAAUAAUAAUGAUAAUAAUAGCCUCACAUAAGAAUGUGUUACGUCUGAGGCUGUGCAGUUCUGGAUCAAACAUUUACCAAGAUGGAAAACUUCUGCACUGAUUGUGUUGUAUUUCAAAUGUUUUUGCGAAUGUAAAAUAAUUCCAAAUAUAAUAUCAUUCCUGCUUUGAUGAAAACAUCCCAUGACCGCCUUGCCAUUUAUUCUGAUACAUAUUAAAAAAUAAAUUUAAAAAAACAUAUUUCCUGAUAAAAUACAUUUUUUAAAGUCUGAUUUCCUUUGUGAUUGGAUAUGGGAUAUUUAGUGAGCCCAUGGAAUUAUAAUCUAAUCUUAAAGACAAUAUUUUUGUUGUGUUUCUUGUUUCUUCUGUUUUUAUUCUUUUGUAACUGCAAAAUAAUUCUUACAUUAAAAAUCGAAUAACUCAUUUGUAUUUACAUAUGUUCCGCUAGGCUUUCCGAAGGGUUCCUCUGACACCUGCAGCUACCUCUGAGCACUAACGUGGCGGAGAGCCCCAUCUAGUGGCAGCACUUGUGAACUACUCAGACUGUGACGUGAGGGUGUUUCUCACCGUGAAGCUGUCUUCGGCCUGGAACUGGUUGUCCACAUAGAUGCAGACCCUGUCAAAGUCUUUCAUUUCCUCACUGCAGUCAAUGUUCCUGUAAACAACAGAGUUGUUUUUUCUGACGUAGUGCAAAAUAAAUUUGCAAGUCAA